Molecule: ribosomal RNA, 334 nt
Filed under: uncultured Lachnospiraceae bacterium
Lineage: Bacteria; Bacillati; Bacillota; Clostridia; Lachnospirales; Lachnospiraceae
Description: bacterial SSU rRNA
Rfam family: Bacterial small subunit ribosomal RNA
Source: RNAcentral
UGGGGAAUAUUGCACAAUGGGGGAAACCCUGAUGCAGCGACGCCGCGUGAGUGAAGAAGUAUUUCGGUAUGUAAAGCUCUAUCAGCAGGAAAGAAAAUGACGGUACCUGACUAAGAAGCCCCGGCUAACUACGUGCCAGCAGCCGCGGUAAUACGUAGGGGGCAAGCGUUAUCCGGAUUUACUGGGUGUAAAGGGAGCGUAGACGGUAGUACAAGUCUGAUGUGAAAGGCGGGGGCUCAACCCCUGGACUGCAUUGGAAACUGUUAGUCUUGAGUGCCGGAGAGGUAAGCGGAAUUCCUAGUGUAGCGGUGAAAUGCGUAGAUAUUAGGAGGAA